This 446-nucleotide ribosomal RNA is filed under the name uncultured bacterium. RNAcentral's name for it is "partial 16S ribosomal RNA". It matches the Rfam family "Bacterial small subunit ribosomal RNA", at positions 338 to 795 of the family's 1533-position model. The record is from RNAcentral.
CCUACGGGGGACAGCAGUCGAGAAUCAUUCACAAUGGGGGAAACCCUGAUGGUGCGACGCCGCGUGGGGGAAUGAAGGUCUUCGGAUUGUAAACCCCUGUCAUGUGGGAGCAAAUUAAAAAGAUAGUACCACAAGAGGAAGAGACGGCUAACUCUGUGCCAGCAGCCGCGGUAAUACAGAGGUCUCAAGCGUUGUUCGGAAUCACUGGGCGUAAAGCGUGCGUAGGCUGUUUCGUAAGUCGUGUGUGAAAGGUGCGGGCUCAACCCGCGGACGGCACAUGAUACUGCGAGACUAGAGUAAUGGAGGGGGAACCGGAAUUCUCGGUGUAGCAGUGAAAUGCGUAGAUAUCGAGAGGAACACUCGUGGCGAAGGCGGGUUCCUGGACAUUAACUGACGCUGAGGCACGAAGGCCAGGGGAGCGAAAGGGAUUAGAUACCCCAGUAGUC